Molecule: long non-coding RNA, 285 nt
Organism: Camelus dromedarius (Arabian camel)
Lineage: Eukaryota; Metazoa; Chordata; Mammalia; Artiodactyla; Camelidae
Exons: 3
Source: RefSeq, a predicted model, not a curated record
CCCGAGAUUGCGGCGCCAAAUUCAGCAGAAAAACGGAGCUCGAAUGUAGCACAGACAAGGAAAGGAAACCUGCCUAGAAGAAAAACUUCAAAAGAGCCGCGAUUUUCUGUCUCUAUCAGGAUGGGAUGCAUUGCUGGGAAGCCUCAAGGCUCCUCUCCCACGAAGUCUUUUUAAGAUAGCUUGGACACACACUACAGCUUACAGCUCUUACAGUGAGGAUUCUGAAAGAUAAGACAUGGAAACUACAUCUCUUAAGGCCUUGGCCCAGAAAUUGGUACGCUUCUG